This 299-nucleotide ribosomal RNA is filed under the name Sigambra magnuncus. RNAcentral describes it as "partial 16S ribosomal RNA". It matches the Rfam family "Bacterial large subunit ribosomal RNA", at positions 2087 to 2597 of the family's 2925-position model. Lineage: Eukaryota; Metazoa; Annelida; Polychaeta; Phyllodocida; Pilargidae. The record is from RNAcentral.
GACCCUAUCGAGCUUAAUUAAAACCAGAUUAGACACGAUAAUAAAACUUAACCUCUCUCUUGGGUAUAAUUUAGUUGGGGCAACUAAGGAUAAAACCCAUCAUCCUAAAAAUCCACGAUAAACAAAUCAUCCUAUAGAUCCACAAAGUGAUCAAAGAACAAAGCUACCGUAGGGAUAACAGGCUAAAUUUUCCCAAAGAGCCCAAAUUAAUGGGAAAAAUUGGCACCUCGAUGUUGGCUUAAAGUUUCCCUCAGGAGCAAACACUUGAAAAGGUUGGUUUGUUCAACCAUUAAAACUUU